ACGGGAGGCAGCAGUGGGGGAUAUUGCACAAUGGGGGAAACCCUGAUGCAGCGACGCCGCGUGAGUGAUGAAGUAUUUCGGUAUGUAAAGCUCUAUCAGCAGGGAAGAAAAUGACGGUACCUGACUAAGAAGCUCCGGCUAAAUACGUGACAGCAGCCGCGGUAAUACGUAUGGAGCAAGCGUUAUCCGGAUUUACUGGGUGUAAAGGGAGCGUAGACGGUUUGCCAAGUCUGAUGCGAAAGGUGGGGGCUCAACCCCCAAACUGCAUUGGAAACUGGUAGACUAGAGUGUCGGGGAGGUAAGUGGAAUUCCUAGUGUAGCGGUGAAAUGCGUAGAUAUUAGGAAGAACACCAGUGGCGAAGGCGGCUUACUGGACGAUAACUGACGUUGAGGCUCGAAAGCGUGGGGAGCAAACAGGAUUAGAUACCCUGGUA
RNAcentral lists this ribosomal RNA (434 nucleotides) under uncultured Lachnospiraceae bacterium. RNAcentral's name for it is "partial 16S ribosomal RNA". It matches the Rfam family "Bacterial small subunit ribosomal RNA", at positions 341 to 792 of the family's 1533-position model. Lineage: Bacteria; Bacillati; Bacillota; Clostridia; Lachnospirales; Lachnospiraceae. The record is from RNAcentral.